RNAcentral lists this ribosomal RNA (253 nucleotides) under uncultured bacterium. RNAcentral describes it as "partial 16S ribosomal RNA". It matches the Rfam family "Bacterial small subunit ribosomal RNA", at positions 524 to 776 of the family's 1533-position model. The record is from RNAcentral.
GACGAGGGAUCCUAGCGUUGUUCGGAAUUAUUGGGCGUAAAGGGGGUGUAGGUGGCUUUGAAAGUCAGAUGUGAAAUCCCAGGGCUUAACCCUGGACGUGCAUUUGAUACUGCAAAGCUUGAGUGCGAGAGAGGUAGGUGGAAUUCCAGGUGUAGUGGUGAAAUACGUAGAUAUCUGGAGGAACAUCGGAGGCGAAGGCGGCCUACUGGCUCGACACUGACACUGAAACCCGAAAGCGUGGGGAUCAAACAGG